CCUACGGGUGGCAGCAGUGAGGAAUAUUGGUCAAUGGACGCAAGUCUGAACCAGCCAUGCCGCGUGCAGGAAGACGGCUCUAUGAGUUGUAAACUGCUUUUGUACGAGGCUAAAUCCCGAUACGUGCAUCGGGUUGAUAGUAUCGUACGAAUAAGGCUCGGCUAACUCCGUGCCCGGAGCCGCGGUAAUACGGAGGAGUCAAGCGUGACCCGGAUUUAUUGGGUGUAAAGGGUGCGUAGGCGGUGCGACGCGUUCGAGGUGAAAUCCCGGGGCUCAACUUCGGCCCUGCCUCUGGUACUGUCGGGCUAGAGGGUGGUUGGGGUGAGCGGAAUGUAUGGUGGAGCGGUGGAAUGCAUAGAGAUCGUACAGAACACCGAGGGCGAAGGCAGGUCACCGAGCUGCGACUGACGUUGAGGAACGAAAGCGUGGGGAGCGAACAGGAUUAGAUACCCUGGUAGUC
This 460-nucleotide ribosomal RNA is filed under the name uncultured bacterium. Its description in RNAcentral is "partial 16S ribosomal RNA". It matches the Rfam family "Bacterial small subunit ribosomal RNA", at positions 338 to 795 of the family's 1533-position model. The record is from RNAcentral.